CUUCCCAUUUGUGUGUCACAAGUCUCUUCUUGUAGCCAGGCAGUGUUUAAUCAAUACAUUUUACUCCCAGUCAGUCAUUAUGGGAUGUAAUUAUAAUGUUCUCUUUAAUGUCUGAUGAAGUCAGGAGCUCUCGCCCCCUAAAACGUGUUACAAGGACUUUUAUUAUAAACCUGUAUAUUCAGUAAUUAGACCUUGGAGCUCUAGAACAUUUGGAGGACUGGUGGUGGAGCACUGAUUACGUAUCAGGGGAAAAUCAUCUCCAAUAUGGAUGAUAAGGACAACUGACCUGUGUUGUGCAGUGUACGAUACUUUGUACCUCAAAGGUAAAGUUCUGUUUGAAAGACAAUAGUCGAUUUCACUAAUGACCUACCAAGGAUGGACGAGGACAGAGACCACAUGGCUGCAAGGAUAUUGGACCUCACCCUAGAGAUCAUCUACCUGAUAACUGGAGAGGAUUACACAGUAGUGAAGAAGUCGUCUGGUGAGUGUGUGACACCCCAUGUGUCAGGAGAAUGGAGCAGGACCCCGGGAGCCAUCACCGAGCCUCCACCUCAUUCACUGAUACAUGAGCAGAAGAUCCUAGAACUUACCACCAGGAUCACUGAGCUGCUGAACAGAGAGGUGAGCGCUGCUGGGAAUGC
Long non-coding RNA from Bufo bufo (common toad), 641 nucleotides. RefSeq lists it as uncharacterized. Lineage: Eukaryota; Metazoa; Chordata; Amphibia; Anura; Bufonidae. The transcript has 3 exons. The record is from RefSeq and is a predicted model, not a curated record.